This 8660-nucleotide long non-coding RNA is filed under the name Nicotiana benthamiana. RNAcentral's name for it is "long non-coding RNA (NBEN_LNC017989)". Lineage: Eukaryota; Viridiplantae; Streptophyta; Magnoliopsida; Solanales; Solanaceae. The record is from RNAcentral.
GUCACUAGUACGAGUCCUCACCAUCUGUGAGAGAAUAAAAAUGGAAAUUCAGUACACUAACCACUGCACGAUAGGAAGUGAACAAAGAGUAGUUUUUCCUAAUACCAUAUAGCCUCUUGAAGAUGUAUACAGACGUCUUCGUACCGAUCUACAAGUCUCUAUUAGUUUUGCCCGUAACACUAUGAGACCUAUGUGAACCUAGUGCUCUGAUACAAUGUUGUCACGGCCAAUUUCCAAAACCCAACAACCUUGCCGGGCCAGCCAACUGCGAAAUAUUACUAACAAUUCAUAUAGAGUUGUACUCAAUUUUAGGUGAAAUACCCAUUUAGUUUGGGUUUAGAACAAAAGAAGAUAAUACAGUGAAUAGCACAAUAUUACAUAACCCAAAAACCAGUCUACUAAAGUGUACGUACCAAGACCUAGUGUCAUAGUGUAAGGGCAUUUAGUAGAUUAUUCAUAUCUCUACCUACUGUCUAAAAUAAGGGAAAGACAGCAAAAAUAUAAAAGAAGACUCCAUCCAGCUGCUGAGCGAAGUGGAAAAGAAAGCAGUUCACCGUGGAAGUCUCUAUAGCCACUCACUGGCGCUCACCCUGAGGGUAUCCAAAUGAAUCAGCCUCAGACCCUGUACAUUUAAGUACAGAAGCGUAGCAUGAGUACAUAAACAAUUUGUACCCAGUAAGUAUCCCGUCUAAUCUCGGAGAAGUAGAGACGAGAGGUCGACUUGAUACUUACUAGGUCCAAGUAAUAUCAUAAUAAUGAUGUACAAUAUACUGCAUCAAUAAUGUAAUCAAAUAACAGUUACAACAGAAGUCAUAUCAUGCUCACAGUCAUAUUUCCUUUAUCAUAUUUCCUUCUUUCAUUCAUUUAGCAGCAAAUCAUGAAUAGUCUAGGCUCAAGCAUAAACAUGUAAAUCAUGCGCAACAACGCCGAGGUCGACGGCCCUCCCCAACAGAAUAUAAAUUUGUGCACUGCCGAGGGUCGAACGGCCAGUACCAUAGAUGCAUCUAUUUCACCGAGGCGAUCGACCCGAUCCACAAAUAUCAAGAUAAUAUCAAGAAUGAGCAAUAAGGCAUCAUAUAUAUACCAAGAAAAAUCCUUCCAAGUUCAUAAAUAAACAUAUGUUCAUUUUUCAUUCUCUUCUAGUCUCUAGCAUGUCAUAAAAGACCAUUCAUAUAGUUCAAACAAGGGAAAGUUCAAUGUAGGCAUGAUGUUGGUCCUAAACUACCCAAACAUUUAACAUUAUAGUAGAUACGCACGGACUCUCGUCACCUAGUACGUGCGUAGACCGCGCAUUUAACAGCAAUUUAUCAUUUAUUAGUCUUAAAGGGAUAGUUUCCUCUCACGAGGUUAGAAAGCAGACUCACCUCGCUCCAAACCGCACUUCUAAAUGCCAAGGACAAGCUCGAGCCCUCAAAGCGAAACCGAAAGUGCAAAAACUAGUUAAAUAAUGUGGGAAUUAGUCAAUAAUGGCUUACAAGGUUGAAUUCUAACUAUUUAAGUGGUUUCCCAACCUUUACCGCAAGCUUUCAAAUUUUCAACCCGGGGCCCACGUGCCUGAAUUCCGAGAUUUUUUGGAGGAAAAUAUUCUCUAAAACCUAAUGAUUACUAAUAUGUAAAUUUUGGUUCAUUACAUAGCUAAUUAGGUGGUCAAAUCAUAAUUUUAUCAAAACCCUAGUUCUAGCUCUAACCCUUGAUUUUUAUUUGAUUACUAGUGUUAAAUCUAUGUAAGGCUCAUGUAUUUAAGCUAAGAGUGAGUGUGGAUUACUUACCUCGUGAUAUUAGGAAGAAAAUCUCUCUUUAGGACCUUCAAAAUCGCUCAAAUGGUGUGAAAAUGAGAGAGAAGGAGCUUGGGUUCGUAUUUAAUGAAACCUUACUGUCCCUAGCGAUUUUUGCAUAUGGGGACAAAUUACCGCAUAUGUGGUGUCCGCUUCUGCGGAAUGACAACCGUUUUUGUGGUUUGGAAGCACUGUGGACCAGACCGCUUCUGUGGUCGAAUUCUCGCACAUGCGGGACCGCUUCUGCGGUCUCUUCCCCUUCUUGGCCUUCCUCUUCUGCGGCCAGAUGGCCGCUUAUGCGGUCACCGCUUCUGCGGUCAAAGAGCCACAGAAGCGGUUUUGGCAGAAGCAGUAACCUUGCUUCUUUACAAAAUUUGACUUCGCUCAAACCUCGACCAUUUGACGCUCGGGGCUCCCGUGCCCUGCCCGAACAUACCGACACGUCUGAUAUCACGAGAAAGACCUAAUCGAACCCUCGGAAUACCCAAAACAACGCUAAAUCAAGGAAUCGGACCUCAAGACCAAUUGAUCCAAUUUAAUGAACUUUAAGUUCUUAGUUUCCCUUCAACGGGUCAAAACGCCCUUAGACUAUUCAGAUUGACACCAAAUUUUACGGGUAAGUCUUAUAUAAUAUUUUGGACUUGUACCAAGUUUCGGAACCAGAAUCCGAACCCGAUACCUAGGUUUUUAAUAAAUACUUAGAUUCUUUAAUUCCUUAAAACUUCAAUUUAACAAUUUUACUUAAAAUUUCUGUACUCAGGCUAGGUACCUCGAAAUUCGAUUCCAAGCAUACGCCUAGGGCCCACAUUUUACCACGGACCUCCCAGGACCGUUGAAUCACGAAUCCAGGUUUGUUUCCCAAGUAAGUUGACCGAAGUCAAACUUGGUCUUUUAAGAAAACCUUAAGGGAAUAAUUGGUUUUAUUUUUACUCAAACUCUUCUAACCUUAAGGCGUGUGGAGUUCUAUUUAAGGAAACGGGGUUCCAAAUAGUAAAACGACCAGUCGGGCCUUUACAAGUAAAAAUUCUAGAAGAAGACAUAGUUGAGGAGAAGCAAAAAUGGAAUCGAGCAAUAAUUAUGUAUGUGGUUGGAAAUACUCCAACUAUAGGAGCUAUUGAACGAUUUGUUGCUGGUCAAUGGGGAAAAAUCAGGAAGUCUAAGGUACUAUUUCACAAUGAUGGAUACUUUAUAAUUCUGAUGCAAAAUCUAGAAGAAAGAGACAAGGUAUUGAUGAAUGGGCCUUAUACUAUGAAUAGUAGACCAAUAAUAUCAAAGCCAUGGACCUUAGGUUUUGAUUUCAGUGAAGAGGUGUUGAAAACUAUUCCUUUAUGGGUUAAACUCUCACUGAGUUAUUGGAGUAACCUAGCCCUGAGUAAAAUUGGGAGUGGAUUGGGGAAACUUCUUCAUGUUGAUGCCUGCACAACUAUGACUGAUAGGACCUCAUGUGGUUGGAUUCUAGUUGAAAUGGACAUCACAAGGAUUUACUAAGAAGAAUCAAACUGAUUGAUCCUACAUGCAAAGUUAUUCAGCAGCCGAUACAAUAUGAAUGGAAGCCUCAAUAUUGCUCAACCUACUGUUAAAUUAGCCACUCGUGUCACAAUCAGCAAAUACAGAAACAAGAGGGGCCCAACAAAACUAUAGAACAGGAACAUGUAUGGAAAGUUGUGAGGAAACUUGAUCCAAAGACUGGUAAAAUAGAUACAAGUGGAAGAUUUCUGGAGGAAGUGGAGGAGGAUGAAGAAGAGAUCCAAAAUAACAACCCAAAUAAAGAGCAAUGGCAAUUGGCAACAGGGAAUUCUGCUUCAAAGAAGAAUGUGGAUGGGAGAAAUGAGAAUGGAGUCAAUAUAGGUAAUGCAUUCAAAGCUUUGGUGGACACUGCACAAAAGAUAGGCCAAAUGACAAAGAAUCAAGACCAAGGUAGAGAGCUGUCUAGAGAUCGGGGCAGAGGGGGUACUAUGAAUCCAAGAUCCCUAAAACAAUGAACAUCAUAUCUUGGAAUGUUAGAGGAGUGAAUACAGAAUACAAGCAAAAAUAACUAAAAAAAUUUAUUAGAGGAAAUAAGGUAGUGUUAAUAGUUGUGUUAGAGAAUAGAGUUAAGGAAGCAAAGGAAGAGGAUGUAAUAAAGAAAGUGUUUAGUAGCUGGAGAUGGACAUCAAACUAUACGGCUAGUCCAUCUGGAAGAAUAUGGGUUGUUUGGGACCAGACAAGGAUAUAUUUUGAAAGUUAUGAUAUACACAAGCAAUACAUAAUAGUGCAGGUAACAGAAUUCCAGAAUGGCAAUAAAUUUAACAUUGGAGCCAUUUAUUGUAUGCAUACUAUUCAAGGUAGAAAAUUAUUAUAGGAAGAUAUGGGAAAAGUCAUAGCUGGUGUUAAUGGACCUUGGGUGUUAAUGAGGGACUAUAAUACUAUUUAAUCUAGUGAAGACGGGAUACAAGGAACCUAGUACAGGAAUUUGAAGUGAAAGAUUUUAAAGAGUUCAUUUGGGAGGCUAGACUAACUGAAUUGAGAACAGUUAAAAGGAAAUACACUUGGACAAACAAUCAUGUCCAUAGCAAGAUAGACAUAAUACUUGUCAAUGUUACAUGGAUCCAAAAAUGGUAUGUAAUAGAGGGAAGGAUGUUGCAACCUGGUUUUUGCUGAUCAUUGCCCUUUGAGCAUAUCAAUUGAUACUGACCAGAAUAAUGGAAAGAGACCUUUCACUUUUUUCAAUUGCUUGACUCAACAUAAAGAUUUUGAGGAUACUGUAUACAAAUGAUGGACAAAUAGGGGAGGUGGAACAACAAUGAACAAGGUGUGGAUGAAACUCAAAUACUAAAGACCAAACCGAAGCAAAUGAAUAAUCAAGAUCUUAUCAAUACAGAAUAAAGAAUUCUAGUAGCAAGAGCAAAGUUGGAAGGUAUCCAGGAACAAAUGGCUGGACCUGGAAAUAGCAAUGAAACUAUAGCUCAAGAAAAAGAGGCAAAGAUGGAGUUGGCUAAACGGCUUGAAAUUGAGGAAAGUAUAAUGAAUCAGAAAUCAAGGAUUAAAUGUCUUAACUUGGGGGAUUCAAAUACAAUAUAUUUUCAUGCAUGUGUUAAGAAUAGAAAAGCAACUAAUCACAUUGGAAGAUUGACAGAUAGUACAUGGAAACUACUCUUGAAUGCUAAUGAUGUGGAGGCAGAAAUACUUAAGUUCUACAAGCAGCUACUUAGAAUAGCAACAACUCAAAUACCGGUAGUUAAUACAGAAGUUAUGCAGCAAGGCUACAACCUAAGGAGAAAACAACAAAUGAAGUUAAUACGAGUAGUAACUGAAGAUGAAGUCAAGCAAGCAUUACAGGGCAUUAAUGACAACAAAGCACCAGGAUGUGAUAGAUACACUACAUUCUUCUUUAAGAAAGCAUGUCAUACUACAGGGAAAGAGGUGACUCAAGCUCUGAUGGAGUUUUUUGAGGAAUAUGUAAUGUACAAACCAAACAACUGUACAACUAUUACCUUAAUACAAAAAGUGAAGAACCCCAGUAGUAUCAAAGAAUUCAGACCUAUCUCAUAAUGUACUAUGUUAUAUAAAAUUAUCUCCAAGAUACUAACAUCUAGACUGCAGGAAGUCAUGCCAGAUUUGAUUGACAAUUAUCAAACAACUUUUAUGCCGGGAAGAUUGAUCACAGAUAAUAUCACAAUGAGCCAUGAACUGGUCAAAGGCUAUGUGUGGAAGAAUAUAUCACCUAGGUGUAUGUUGAAGAUUGAUAUGCAAAAGGCCUAUUGUUCUGUGGAAUGAGUAUUUGUUGAACAGGUGAUGAGGCUAUUAGGAUUUCCAGAAAAAUAUGUAAGAUGGGUAAUGGUCUGUAUCAGUACUGUCUCAUAUUCAAUUAUUGUCAAUGGGAAGCGAGUCAAACAUUUGAAGCCAAAAGAGGAUUAAGACAGGGAGAUUCCCUCUCACCAUUGCUAUUUGUAAUUGCUAUGGAGUACCUAAGUAGGCUAAUGAAGCAACUUGGAAACAACAAAGAAUUCAGAUUUCAUCCGAGGUGUGCUAAAAUAAAACUAAUAUAAUUGGGAUUUGCUGAUGAUCUGUUGUUAUUUUGUAAGGGAAAUGUGCAGUCUGUUAUGGCAUUGCAUAAACAAUUCCAAAUAUUUUCUGCAGAUUCUGGGUUAGUGGCAAACACAAGUAAAAGCAACGUAUAUUUUGGUGGGAGAGAAAGCAGGACACAACUGAAGAUAAUGGAAGUGCUAGGAUACACUAAAGGUGAUCUACCUUUUAGAUACCUUGGUGUUCCCUUGAGUACAAAAAGAUUGUCAACAAUUCAAUGUGAACCUCUGAUUGAUAAAAUGCUUAAUAGAAUUCAAUGCUGAAUAACCAAGUUUCUAUCAUAUGCAAGAAGAGCAACACUGAUUAAAAGUGUGUUGGGAACAAUUCAGAACUUUUAGGCCCAAGUAUUCAUUCUGCCAAAGAAAAUUAUACAAUUCAUUGAGCCAAUAUGUAGAAGGUUUUAUGGUCAGGCAGUGCUGAACCAACAAAGAAAGUUUUAAUAGUGUGGGACAAACUAUGCGCACCUAAGAUAGCAGGGGGAUUAAACUUCACAAAUAUAAAACUACGGAAUAAAGCUUCUAUUUGUAAGCUGCUUUGGAACGUUUGCUAGAAGAAAGAGAAGUUGUGGGUGCUGUGGGUUCAUACAUAUUAUAUAAAAAAUAACAAUAUAUGGGAUACUGAACCAAAAAAUACCUCCUGGGUGAUCCAGAAAAUAUUCAAGGCCAAGGAACAUUUCCAAGAGACUAGAUAUUCAGAGGAUGAUUAUCACGCAUCCUUUUUCAUUACACCUGCAAGGGGUAAAUAGAGUUUUUUCAAUUAAAAAACAAUCGAAACGGAAUUAUUAUUAAUGAAUCAGAAUCGUCACUGGGAGAUUUAGAGUGUCCCAGGUCACAGGUUUAAUCCCGAACCGAGGAAAAUAUUGACUAUGUUUAACAGUCCGCGCACCAGAAAUCCGGAAAAGGAAUUCUGUUAACUUGGGAGAAGGUGUUAGGCAUUCCCGAGUUCCGUGGUUCUAGCACGGUCACUCAACUGUUAUAUUCGGCUUAAUUAUAUAAUUUUUAACAAUUAAGAACAUAUGUGCAAAUUUUAACUUUUAGCCGCUUUUAUUAUUCUUAUUAUUAUUUUAACAAAGAAUUGCAACGUUGUGAAAACGUAUCUCGAACCACGUCACAGUCAAUGUACCCGUGGUUAUCGACACAUCUCGACUCCGUUGAGAUUUGGAUUUGGGUCACAUAAAUGUGACCCCGUAUUUAGGGAGGUAAUAUUAUUAAAAUGCGCGCCUAAUGAGUCUAACGCGUUAUUGUUUCGGGGAAAGCCGUGCAAUUAGCUAAACGGUUCAUCCCGGAGUCUAAGUAUUUUUAAUAUAUAUAUUUAUGAGGGCCCCACAAUUUAUACAAUUUUGUUGGGCGAGGCACACCUCUAAUUCUAAUUUAAAAACGAAGUACAUUCCGCUUUAAUUAUUUAAAGAGUUAAUUCAAGGUUAUUUAAAACAUAUUGCAAACCACGCUACAUAAAAUGUAUUCGUAGUUUAUGACACCCUUUAUUUAACCUUGUCCAAAAUUGGAGCCGAGUCACAUGAAAUGUACCCUGGUUCCUUUAAUCUAAGCUAACACAACUAAAGGGUUCAUGCCAUUAUAAUCAAUUCAACAUUCCUUUAAUAUGAACAAACACUCAAAUUUUAUGAAUAAUCUUAUCACAAGUUAAAUCUUAAGUCGUUCAUAUAACCUUCGCCUCUCUUUAACUUUCAAAUUCAUUAAGUUCUAAAUAAAGAAAAAUCUACUAAAAAUUAAGAUAUCAUGCUGCCUUAAGAAUUAUUUUCUUUUUCAAAAAAAAAAAACAUUUCACAACUCCACUGCCCAGUCACACUCGUUCUUUUAACGGGCAGUCAUCAAGAAAACAAAACCAUUAAUCACACCAUGGUUCAUGAAUAACACAUAUUUGCAUGAAUAAUCAAGGACAAAACUAGACAAGAGGGGUUGCUCUGAUGGUAAAUAACCUCUACUUCUAACUGAUAGGUUGUGACUUUGAGUCGGGUAGGGAUAAGGUUUGCGUACACACUAUCAUUCUCAGACCCCACUAAUGGAAUUAUACUGGGUUGUUAUUGUUGUUGUAAUCGAGCAGAAAACUCAAAAUAUAGAUAAUGACAUAAACAAAGAUCACAUGUAAACCAAACAUCUAACAACAUUAUAAACCAAAAAUGAUGUCAAUUCAUUACGCAUCCAAAGAAGAAGAUCACAGGAACAUUGUACCUUCAAUGGUCUUCAACGAUUUUUAUUUGAGAAUGCAAGUAAAAGCCGGCAACCGGGGACCUCAACGGAAAUCAAAAGAGACCGGAAUGGUCGAGCUAUGAACGGAAACCUCAGAUUACAACUUUCAACGACCUCAAGAUUCGUCGGAACACUCGGACUGAACCUUAGACAAACUGAAACGAAGCAACAACAACAACAGGUGGAGAUGGGUAGUGCUGCUAUCGUUUGAGGUCGUGUGUGGUGGUUCGAUGGGACUGGCUGAGCUGGGCGCUGGAGGAGGCGGGCUGACUGGUGGCGUGUUGUGGUCGGAGAGAGCUGGACGGAAAUGGUUGCUUGGAGACGGAAGGGGUGGUGUUUGGAUAUGAGAGCUGGUCGUCGGGCAGUAGGACGACGGGAACGACUGGAGUGUCGUUUGGGCAGUAGCUAGCUAGAAGCGUGACUGGCUGGGACGACGAAGAAGAUGAGCUGGUCGACGGAAAUUGGCGACGACGAAAUAGAGGGCUGCUCGGGUCGUUUGGCUUCGUUGCUUCUUCUUCAAAUCAAAAUCUCCAAAUCCUAAUGUCUCCUCUCGAUAUAUCUCCGUCAACUUUUUUACCCCCAAUAAUCAAGUCCUAGUUAUGUCCGUGCGUUC